This is a long non-coding RNA of Mauremys reevesii (Reeves's turtle), 1275 nucleotides long. RefSeq lists it as uncharacterized. NCBI's taxonomy places the organism in Eukaryota, Metazoa, Chordata, Testudines, Geoemydidae. The record is from RefSeq and is a predicted model, not a curated record. The transcript has 3 exons.
GCAAAUAAUUGGCGUCCUUCUGACAUGAGAAGACCCAGAACAAACAAUUCAUAUCCCUUCAGAGUCUUCAAAACCAAAGAAAGAAACAGGAGACAGAUUUCUUCCAUGCAGCAAUAAAGAUGUGAUGCAUCGAUUCCCGAACGUACUCCCCGUUGACUCCAGAACUCCACCAGGGCGAGAGGCGGAAGCAGAGUCGACGGGGGAGCAGCGGCCGUCAAUCCUGCGCUGCAAGAACGCAAAAGAGUACCAGAACCUACAAUGAAGAAAUACCCAAGAUGUACCAAAAUUACUUUAAUAUACGAGUCACAGCUACUGGGAUAACUGCACCUCUGACCCCUCCUGGUCUUUAAGAGUAUGUCUACACAUCAACGAGGCACCCAUGGCUGGCCAGUGCCAGCUGAAAGUGGGAGAAAGUGUCUACACAGCAGCUAAGCACCCGUGGCUGGCCCAUGCCAGCUGACUUGGACUUCUGGGACUCAGGAUGCAGGGCUGUUUCAGGAUUUGUGUCAUCACCUCUCAAUGUGGAAUCAUAAGGUUCUUCCACUUUCAGAUAAGAUCUUGGGCUGUGUAGUGCCAAGGACUGGGCUUUCUAGGGCUGAGCUUAGCAGAUCACCACCACAGGCUAUAGUACCCAGGUGCUAACCAUGAUUAUCUGAGCAGGCCUGACUUCAGUUCAAGUAUCCACAAUCCUCUUCCCGCUAGGAGCCAUAACAGUGGUGUCCACCAGAAAGUCUUCUUAAAGCAAAGUAUUGUAUUUAGAACCAAAGAAACAGAUCUCAAAAUAGUCUGUACACUUGCCUGUCUUUUCCUAGCGUUUACCAUUCCCUGGAAGCUGGGGAAAGCUUCCAUUUGCAUUCAGACACUCCUGCAGGACCUGUCUCUCAUCUCAGUUUGUGCCACCAUGAACUGCACCCUCAUACUCCCUCUUUCUCUCCAUACAGUCCUUUUAACCACCUAGUGUCCCUUUCAACUCAACUCCCAGCACUGGCAAAAUAAGGCUUUAAUUUAACAGCUUUUCAUAUUGUCUUUCAAGUGUGUGCCCGGAUGCUCUUAUUUGGGAGCCUCUGUCUUGCCUUUUUCCUUGUUUUGCCAACAGCUCCCUAUUGUGUUAAGCUAAUGCAUUCAUACAGGAAAGUAAUAACCCAAAAUAUCUAUACAGUAACUUACUGCAUGUAACUUAGCAAAGUUUUCAUCUAAUUAUUUAUCCAUAUUUUUGGAUUACACAGCAGCUCCAUGUUAGCUACAAUCUGUUUAUACAACAUUGUUGCAAAUCAA